Molecule: ribosomal RNA, 371 nt
Filed under: uncultured organism
Description: partial 16S ribosomal RNA
Rfam family: Bacterial small subunit ribosomal RNA
Source: RNAcentral
GUAGGUGGCAAGCGUUGUCCGGAAUUAUUGGGCGUAAAGCGCGCGCAGGCGGCUCUUUAAGUCUGAUGUGAAAGCCCACGGCUCAACCGUGGAGGGUCAUUGGAAACUGGAGAACUUGAGUACAGAAGAGGAAAGCGGAAUUCCACGUGUAGCGGUGAAAUGCGUAGAGAUGUGGAGGAACACCAGUGGCGAAGGCGGCUUUCUGGUCUGUAACUGACGCUGAGGCGCGAAAGCGUAGGGAGCAAACAGGAUUAGAUACCCUGGUAGUCCACGCCGUAAACGAUGAGUGCUAAGUGUUAGGGGGUUUCCGCCCCCUUAGUGCUGCAGCUAACGCAUUAAGCACUCCGCCUGGGAGUACGGCCGCAAGGCUG